RNAcentral lists this small nucleolar RNA (106 nucleotides) under Jatropha curcas. RNAcentral describes it as "Plant small nucleolar RNA R71". It matches the Rfam family "Plant small nucleolar RNA R71". Rfam says of the family: R71 is a member of the C/D box family of snoRNAs containing the C (UGAUGA) and D (CUGA) box motifs. Multiple nearly identical copies of this snoRNA have been identified in Arabidopsis, and it is thought to function as a 2'-O-ribose methylation guide for 18S ribosomal RNA. Lineage: Eukaryota; Viridiplantae; Streptophyta; Magnoliopsida; Malpighiales; Euphorbiaceae. The record is from Rfam by way of RNAcentral.
AAGCUAUGAUGUGGAAACUUCCUCAAUAGGUCCUUAAAUCUCUCCUAAGCUUCAUACAACUCUCUUGAUAAUGGUGGGCAAAAGUUAUUAUCUUAUUGCGAAGCUU